CGAUGAUGCAUCUAGAUAGAGCCAGGAUGGCGGAGGCAGCCGGGAGGUGGAGAGAUGGGGAGAUGGACUGGUGAAGACCUCCACCCCGACCAGGGGCAGCAGCUGUGUCUCGCACAUUUUCUAGAUGCCUGGUGCUAUUCAUCAGAUACUUCUUGACUGUUACUUUGCCCACCAGCAAUCACAUGAGGGAAGGAGAACCCAAGCUUCACGAGGGGAGAUAAAUAUUGUUCACCUGAACGGAACUGAACAGGGAGAGGGAAAUGGACACGCAUCAAUCAGCUCAUCGAAGCCCCAGGACAACCCGAUAAAGAAGGUGCUGCUAUGAUCUCCAUUUUACAGAUGGAAAAACGGAGGCUCAGAUGGAGCGUGUGAUAGAAGCUGAGAGCCAGCUGAUGGGUGCAUAGAGACCCCUGGACUGGGCAGAUGCUACUGAUUAUUACAGUCAACGGCUAUGACCUACAAGGCUCAGAUAUCUCCCUCCAGGCCCUGCAGAGUCUGUUUCUCAAGGCUAAUUUCUGUGUAGGUCUGCUCCUGGGAUGCUCGGAAAAGCUGUCUAGCCUGG
This 562-nucleotide long non-coding RNA is filed under the name Equus caballus (horse). RNAcentral's name for it is "lncRNA (ENSECAG00000044531.1)". Lineage: Eukaryota; Metazoa; Chordata; Mammalia; Perissodactyla; Equidae. The record is from RNAcentral.